This is a long non-coding RNA of Humulus lupulus (European hop), 648 nucleotides long. RefSeq lists it as uncharacterized. The transcript has 3 exons. The record is from RefSeq and is a predicted model, not a curated record. NCBI's taxonomy places the organism in Eukaryota, Viridiplantae, Streptophyta, Magnoliopsida, Rosales, Cannabaceae.
CCUUAGCUAGGUUUUGGUGAUUGGGGCAUUUAAAUAGAAAAUAAGAAAGAGCUUGAAGGCUCAUUUGGCUUGGUGGCUGCCGUGUGCUUAGAGAGAAGGGAGAGAAGAAGAACAUGAAGGAGAAGAGAAGGAGAAGAAAGAAGAGGCCAAGGCUAGGGAUCCUAAGGUUUGGAUUUUGUUGCAAGAGGAUUGGAGGCUAGGGUUCUAAAUAUCUAGGGCUUGAACAAGUGGUGGCCAUAGUUUGGGUUCUUGUCACUAUUGUGUCCUUGAGUUCUAGCAAGAGAGGUAAUGAUAACCUUUUUGUCUUAUGGUUGUUGUUCUUAUCUUUUGGUUAUUGUUGUUUUGAGAAUAUUGUUUAUGAAUGAUGGUAUAUUGUUUUGUUCUCUUUUGAUUUGUUGGUUGAUUGAUAUUAUGGAUUUUGGGUUGAAGGGUUGUUUUGUUUGAUGCAUGAAGGGUUUGGCCUUGGGUGUGUGGUGUAUAUAGGCAAGCAUGAAUAGAAAUUUUUGGUUAUACAUGAAAUAAAAAAAAUCUUAUGGUUAUGUUUUCAUGGUUGUUUUGAAUCAAAUGGUUUAUGUAAUAAGAUUGCAAGGAUGGUAAUGGAUACAUGCUAGGGUAUGAGUUUUGGAUUUCUUGAUUGAGGCUUGAAGG